Molecule: long non-coding RNA, 314 nt
Organism: Biomphalaria glabrata
Lineage: Eukaryota; Metazoa; Mollusca; Gastropoda; Planorbidae
Exons: 2
Source: RefSeq, a predicted model, not a curated record
CCCGACUCACCCGGCACGCGUAUAUACUAGCGUAAGACCCAGCCCAUUGCACGUGCGCGGUUGUAAACGAUCAGCUGCAGAUUAAUGUAGGUCAAAUAUUGUUCCAGUGCGCGGUUCCGCAAUGUGGAAUCCUAUAAAUAGUUCUUACCAAAUAGUUGUUCAAGUUGCGAGAACAAUUUUCGUCUGUAGCAUAAUCAAUGUAAAAAAACAUUUUGUCCUUGGCUGACACAGUGUUUAAGCUAAUGCAGAUCCAGUGUGCAGAAGUUACAAAGACAAUUGGAAUAUGGCUGCCUUGAGUUUCCACAACCUCUUAA